UUGGCUCAGUGGUAGAGUACUUGCCUUGCAAGCAUGAGGUCCUGGGUUAGAUUCCUAAA
RNAcentral lists this transfer RNA (59 nucleotides) under Dipodomys ordii (Ord's kangaroo rat). It matches the Rfam family "tRNA", at positions 7 to 64 of the family's 71-position model. From Rfam's summary of the family: Transfer RNA (tRNA) molecules are approximately 80 nucleotides in length. Their secondary structure includes four short double-helical elements and three loops (D, anti-codon, and T loops). The record is from Rfam by way of RNAcentral. Lineage: Eukaryota; Metazoa; Chordata; Mammalia; Rodentia; Heteromyidae.